GUGUGUGUGUGUGUGUGUGUGUGUGUGUGUGUGUGUAUAUAUAUAUAUAUAUAUAUAUACACACAUAUAUAUAUAGUUGGCUGAGUAGAAGUCUGUCAGUUUAAAUAGGCUUAAUUAUUUAACAGAACAUGAUAUGGAUACAGACAUUUAGGCUAUGUGUGGGAUAAAACCACUGCACAGUCAAACAGCCACUUAAUAUUUAGGCUACUUUACAAUGUAAAACAUGAUCAAAAUGAGGUAGCUCCAUGAGAUUAUGCUGACUUCUUACCUGUUUGAACAAUGUUCUUAUAUUUCAUCUUAAGCUUCUCCCCUGCAGGAUUGCACCUAAAUGAAAUAACUUAAUAGGCUACUAUUCAAACAGUUUUCCCCUGUAAUAUUAUUGUGAUUUAAACUUACGCAUUGACAGGGCAGCAAUGUUCUCCCACACCGUCUCCCUCUCUUUUGCAGCUGCAGGUGUUGCACUUCUUUCUAAAAACGUGUUCAAACUCGCUAUAUAAGCGCAUUAAGAUUUCCAAUUCAAACGGUGUAGUCCUCCGCUUCCCCGUUGCCAUGGUGACUUGUCGAAUCAGCGCUCAAUUGAUGCUGGCUUUUCAGAGUUGUGGUGCACGCGCUUAACUCCGGGUGAAACUACUCCGAGUUGAUUAAACCAACUCAAAUCAGCCGUUGUGAAACCGAAAACUCAGAGUUUUCUAUCUCAGAGUAGAUCAACUCAGAGUUCAGGGUUAAACUCAGAGUUUGUUGAACCUGCUUCGUGAAACGGACCCCAGAUAUUGUCUCCACAUCUGAACUGUUUCCACCUUUACACACUCUCAUUUUAUUUUCUAACUUCUGUCGUGUUUUUCUUGUUUCUUGUCAUUGUGUAUCUGGUUUCUUGUCGUUGUGUAUCUGGUUGUGUUGUUGUGUAUCUGGUUUUGUUGUUUGUUGUCAUUGUGUAUCUGGUUUGUUGUCGUGUAUCUGGUUUUGUUGUUUGUUGUCGUUGUGUAUCUGGUUUGUUGUUGUUGGUUUUUCUUGCUUUGCGUUUCAUUCGUGCUGUUGUACGUCUGCUUUUGCUCUCUCUGUGUUGACAGGAACAUUCAGUCCAGCGUUUCUACUCUAGCAUCAUGUUUAUGACGGUUUUGUUUCUGGAGAUAUUGAACCCUGAAAAUGUCUUCACAAGUUUGUGGAAGAUCAAAAUAAAGAAACUCUCAGAUCUGAAAUUCCAAAAGUUCCGACAAAACAUUUUGAGGAACGUAGUUUUUGGUUUCAAAUAAUAAAGACGUAAACUCUGAACAGAAUCUGAGAAUGUUUGGGAGGAACCAUUCAGAGACCGUCCAAUCCUCUGAGAGUCUGGAGCCGUUUGCAGCGUGUUGAUUGGCUGACAGGCGGUGCAGCAGCUCCUGUCCGUCCAGGAUUGAAGAGUCUGCUUCAGAGCGAGAGCAGACGCUGCUGCUUUCUGCUAGUGUUCUCUGACGUCUCUGUGGUUUCCUUCAGUCGAUCAGACGCGUGGUUUUACCUCGAAAAAGCUUUUCAGGAAAUCGGUGUGGUGGAGUUUCCGUCUCAGACUUCAGAUCAGCUGUUUCUGUAGAACUCUGAAAAACAAGUUGAGCUUCUCCGGCCAGAAAGUGUGUGGAGCAGCUGAGAGGAGUUCAGGUGUUUCUCCAGGAGGCCGAGGCUCGUCCAAAAACGAUCCGAAAAUCUCAAAGCCAAUGUGGAAGAAAUGAAGUUCAUCUGAGACACAACACAAACUUUCACAGGAUGCCUUUCUGCAGCUGUACGAGUCCAGACCUCCAGUCACUUCCUGGUCCCUGAGGACGGUGGUUGGACUGGUUGUACUGGGAGCAGCUGGGAUCACACUGGGAGCCUUGUUCAGCCAGAAAUAAAACCUGUUGGUC
RNA transcript from Amphiprion ocellaris (clown anemonefish), 1871 nucleotides. It is a transcript of the gene named apoptosis regulator Bcl-2-like, with no coding region annotated. The transcript has 2 exons. Lineage: Eukaryota; Metazoa; Chordata; Actinopteri; Pomacentridae. The record is from RefSeq and is a predicted model, not a curated record.